Molecule: small nucleolar RNA, 120 nt
Filed under: Castor canadensis (American beaver)
Lineage: Eukaryota; Metazoa; Chordata; Mammalia; Rodentia; Castoridae
Description: Small nucleolar RNA SNORA32 (ENSCCNG00000027063.1)
Rfam family: Small nucleolar RNA SNORA32
About the family: ACA32 is a member of the H/ACA class of snoRNA that guide the sites of modification of uridines to pseudouridines.
Source: Rfam by way of RNAcentral
AAAUAAUAAUAAAAAAAAUAGAAUGCAGUUUCUCAUUUGCUGUGGACAUGACUAUAAAAAUUUUUCCCACUAGGUUUAUCAUAUAUUACCUUGUUAGCAAUCAAUCUAUUGGGAACAACA